Molecule: long non-coding RNA, 1079 nt
Organism: Ziziphus jujuba (common jujube)
Lineage: Eukaryota; Viridiplantae; Streptophyta; Magnoliopsida; Rosales; Rhamnaceae
Exons: 4
Source: RefSeq, a predicted model, not a curated record
AAUUGACAAAACAAACCCAUAGGUUGACAAGCAAAAACCCAACCCAACCACCUUCAGUAAAAAAAAACUCUGCAAAUCCAAACGGUGCUCAUCAAUGGCGGAAAGCUAGUCCUUCUCUCCCAUGGCCGACGCCAAAGGAGCUCGCGAGCCAUUUCUUUCACAAGGGAAGUGGCUCUACCAAAUCUCCAAAUCCAUUACUCUCUCCGUUCCCUCCGACGCCCACAGAGCCCUUGAGAGUUUUCCCGUUGCUAAUCUCUCAUCAUCUUCCUCACAAUUCUCUCUGCGCCAAUCUUGGGGCUCGAGCUCUGCCGAGGACGACUAAAUGGGUGGGGUGGACUCGGUAUGGAAAACGGUGCGAAUGGACGAUUCGGUCGGCAGUGUGACAGGGUUUGGGUGCCGAAAGUGUGGAGAAGAAGGAAAUUAUCCAUAUGCAUUAAUGCAGACAAGCUCUUGACAACCGAAGAAGCAAGAAGGCGGCAACAAAUGUAUGAUGAACUCGCAUUAGGUGGUCUAGUUUCUCCCUGCAAUUUUGGUUGUGUGGGAGCAUCUUCCAUCUGGGAAUUCAUAUUUAAGAGUCAACAUUGAUGCCACAAGAAUUGCUCGAGCUGUUUCGCAUCAUUACCCUCGGAGCAAACAUAAUGGCUCUUUCUUGCUGUAGAGUAAGGUACGUCUGCUGCGGGGGCUUGAAUUAUGUUCUUAUAGCAGGGGAGAAAAAGGAAAUGAGAUUAACAUUUGGGGCUUCCAUAUAGGACAGUUACAUUGAGCCAUAAUUGCAAUGGUGACAUUGGGUGAUUGAUCCCACCAAUGCAAGUAACUACAGCUGUUUUGAUGCUCCAAAAGUGCUGACCAAGCCCUUGCUGUUUCCAAAUUAUGGGACUUUAGUAGUCGUGGGCAAGCUUCCUUUAUAUGAUUAGUAUGGUUCCACACACACCUUAGAAAUUAAAGUACACAUUUAUUUAUUUUUCCCUUUUAUGAUUUUAUAAAUGUGGGUACAUGCAGUUUUUAUGUCAAUGGGUAUUGGAUGUGGGUGGGUAUUAUAAUAUGUAGUUUUUGAUCCAUAGUUGAUCUAUCUUUCUUCU